This is a regulatory RNA element of 108 nucleotides. It matches the Rfam family "SAM riboswitch aptamer (S box leader)". Rfam says of the family: The SAM riboswitch is found upstream of a number of genes which code for proteins involved in methionine or cysteine biosynthesis in Gram-positive bacteria. The SAM riboswitch acts at the level of transcription termination control. The record is from Rfam.
CUCUUAUUCAGAGUUGGUGGAGGGACAGACCCGAUGAAACCCAGCAACCAUCACAAUGGUGAAAAGGUGCUAAUCUGAUGCAAGGAACAUCUCCUUGAACAAUAAGAG